This 693-nucleotide ribosomal RNA is filed under the name Triticum aestivum (bread wheat). Its description in RNAcentral is "partial small subunit ribosomal RNA". Lineage: Eukaryota; Viridiplantae; Streptophyta; Magnoliopsida; Poales; Poaceae. The record is from RNAcentral.
AUGGCGGCAGCAGCUCUUCUCCCGCCGCUGCUCCCGUCGCCACCGAGGAGCGAGAUGCCGCCGCUGCUCCCGACGCCGCCCAGGAGCGAGAUGCUGCCGCUGUUGCCGACGCCGCACGGUGUCAUCCUCACCAUGCUGGUGUCCGCCAUGGCAGGCCGCGCCGACUUCGUCAAGAGGUGGGACUGGAACAAGAAACGCGACAAUAAUCCAUGCAGCUCAAUCUGCUCCUCCUCCUCGUCGUCGUCGGGCAGUGGGAGCCCCGGACGCGCUGACUCCGUCGACAGGUGGGACUCGCACAAGAAAUACAAGGCGCCCCGCACCACCAUGUCGUCGUCGUCGUCUUCUUCGUCACACGGCGCCGGUAGCCCCCGACGCGCCGACUCCGUCGAACGCUGGGAGAGCAAGAAACUCGAGACCUCGCCGCCCAAGGAUCGUGGCCGCCAUGUCGGCAACAGCAAGCGCCUGCCUAGCCCUAGCCGCGCGUCCUCGGCGGAGCGCUGGGACUUGCACAAGAAACCUCGCCCGGAGCAGGAGCAGAUGGAGAAGCCGCCUCAGACUAACAUGACAGCGACGACGCCGCAGAAGGCCACGUUCGCCGGACCCAGCUUCCACGCCUCGCCUGACCCGAGCAUGCUCCCCAUGCCCUCCUUGUUUCUGCUGGCACGUCCGCGUGCACUCUGUACUAGUAACUAA